Molecule: ribosomal RNA, 754 nt
Filed under: Sanghuangporus baumii
Lineage: Eukaryota; Fungi; Basidiomycota; Agaricomycetes; Hymenochaetales; Hymenochaetaceae
Description: eukaryotic LSU rRNA
Rfam family: 5.8S ribosomal RNA (bases 333-490)
Source: RNAcentral
GAGGCGAUGCUCGGACAGAUCAUUAUCGAGUUUUGAAAGCGAGACUUGCUGCUGGCGCGAAAUCCUCGCGCAGCUGUGCACGGCCUUCGCGCUCAAAUCCAACUCAAACCCCUGUGCACCCUUUUUAUAUAUCGUGCGAGUCGAAGUUAGUAGUCUGAGGUUCUUGUAAGUAAUCGGUAGGAAGGCGAAAGCGAGUAAGUUACUCGUUAGGUAACCUUUCGAAAAUGAAAGCGAGCGCGUCGGGUGAAGACUUCGGCUCAUGUUGUUAUAUUACAAACACCUUAUAUUGUCAUUGUGAAUGUAAUGCUCCUCGUGGGGGAUUAAAGAACUACAACUUACAACAGCGGAUCUCUUGGCUCUCGCAUCGAUGAAGAACGCAGCGUCAAAUGCGAUAAGUAAUGUGAAUUGCAGAAUUCAGUGAAUCAUCGAAUCUUUGAACGCACCCAUUGCGCCCCUUGGUAUUCCGAGGGGCAUGCCUGUUUGAGUGUCAUGUUAAUCUCAAACCACCCUCGUCUUUUUUAAUCGAAGGGCUUGCGGUUUGGACUUGGAGGGUUACUGCUGGCGCCUCUCUUGAGGGGGGUCGGCUCCUCUUAAAUAUAUAAGCUCGGUUUUGGCACGCGUUUACGGUGUGGAAUAGUUGAUUCCAUUCACCAACGAGCGCUUGCCUGACGAGCCUGCUUCUAAUCGUCCGCGCGUCGUCGGACAAGGAGUUUACCUCCUUUUGACUCCUUGACCUCGGAUCAGGAGAUCCCAU